AACAUCCAGAGUGUUCUCUUUUUCUCUCGGCCGAACCACACUCCAUCUUCACAAAGCAAUCAAAUUGCUUUCCAACCCCUCCUUAAAGUUUGUUUCAUUUAUGAAAAAAAAACAAGCUUCAUCUAGCUAAUUAGAAGACUUAUUGAAAGAGAUUUGAUACUUGGGUUCAAGUUGGAAGCUAGUAAAUAAUUGGGGUUUGCAACCCCAAUGCUUGAAGAACCCUAUUUCCUUUUCUACUCUUCACCUUCCCAUGAAGAAACACUUACAAGAAGACAAGGUGAGUUCUUAUAGAAUUGAUUUGAGGUUAGAAUGAGAACCCUAAGAAAUGUUAUUAUUUUUAAUGAUAGAAUAUGAAUACUUGUUGUUCAUAGAAGUUAGUCAUAAAGAGAUAUGAUUUAUGAAUGCAUGCAAAUAAGUUGUGG
RNAcentral lists this long non-coding RNA (422 nucleotides) under Trifolium pratense (red clover). Its description in RNAcentral is "long non-coding RNA (TPRA_LNC013187)". Lineage: Eukaryota; Viridiplantae; Streptophyta; Magnoliopsida; Fabales; Fabaceae. The record is from RNAcentral.